Molecule: non-coding RNA, 46 nt
Filed under: Schistosoma mansoni
Lineage: Eukaryota; Metazoa; Platyhelminthes; Trematoda; Strigeidida; Schistosomatidae
Source: RNAcentral
GUACUGCUGAGGAGUCCCAUACUAGGACGAAACGGUCGUUCAGUGC